Molecule: ribosomal RNA, 484 nt
Filed under: uncultured bacterium
Lineage: Bacteria
Description: partial 16S ribosomal RNA
Rfam family: Bacterial small subunit ribosomal RNA
Source: RNAcentral
AUUGAACGCUGGCGGCAGGCCUAACACAUGCAAGUCGAGCGGAUGAAGGGAGCUUGCUCCUGGAUUCAGCGGCGGACGGGUGAGUAAUGCCUAGGAAUCUGCCUGGUAGUGGGGGAUAACGUCCGGAAACGGGCGCUAAUACCGCAUACGUCCUGAGGGAGAAAGUGGGGGAUCUUCGGACCUCACGCUAUCAGAUGAGCCUAGGUCGGAUUAGCUGGUUGGUGGGGUAAAGGCCUACCAAGGCGACGAUCCGUAACUGGUCUGAGAGGAUGAUCAGUCACACUGGAACUGAGACACGGUCCAGACUCCUACGGGAGGCAGCAGUGGGGAAUAUUGGACAAUGGGCGAAAGCCUGAUCCAGCCAUGCCGCGUGUGCGAAGAAGGUCUUCGGAUUGUAAAGCACUUUAAGUUGGGAGGAAGGGCAGUAAGUUAAUACCUUGCUGUUUUGACGUUACCAACAGAAUAAGCACCGGCUAACUUCGUG